UUGGUUAAGUUAGAAAGGGCGCACGGUGGAUGCCUUGGCACUAGGAGCCGAAGAAGGACGGGACUAACACCGAUAUGCUUUGGGGAGCUGUACGUAAGCGUUGAUCCAGAGAUUUCCGAAUGGGGGAACCCACUAUCUUUAGUCGGAUAGUAUCCUUACGUGAAUACAUAGCGUGAGGAAGGCAGACCCAGGGAACUGAAACAUCUAAGUACCUGGAGGAAGAGAAAGAAAAAUCGAUUUCCUGAGUAGCGGCGAGCGAAACGGAAAGAGCCCAAACCAAGAAGCUUGCUUCUUGGGGUUGUAGGACACUCUAUACGGAGUUACAAAAGAAAGUUAUAAAUGAAGCGGUCUGGAAAGGCCCGCCAAAGACGGUAACAGCCCGGUAGUUGAAAUGGCUUUCCCUCCAGAGUGGAUCCUGAGUACGGCGGAACACGUGAAAUUCCGUCGGAAUCCGGGAGGACCAUCUCCCAAGGCUAAAUACUCCCUAGUGACCGAUAGUGAACCAGUACCGUGAGGGAAAGGUGAAAAGCACCCCGGAAGGGGAGUGAAACAGUUCCUGAAACCGUGUGCCUACAAGUAGUUAGAGCCCGUUAAUGGGUGAUAGCGUGCCUUUUGUAGAAUGAACCGGCGAGUUACGAUUUGUUGCAAGGUUAAGCGGAAAAAGCGGAGCCGUAGCGAAAGCGAGUCUGAAUAGGGCGCAUAAGUAACAGGUCGUAGACCCGAAACCAGGUGAUCUACCCAUGUCCAGGAUGAAGGUAAGGUAAUACUUACUGGAGGUCCGAACCCACGCACGUUGAAAAGUGCGGGGAUGAGGUGUGGGUAGCGGAGAAAUUCCAAUCGAACUUGGAGAUAGCUGGUUCUCUCCGAAAUAGCUUUAGGGCUAGCCUCGAGGUAAAGAGUCAUGGAGGUAGAGCACUGUUUGGACUAGGGGCCCUUCUCGGGUUACCGAAUUCAGAUAAACUCCGAAUGCCAUGUACUUAUACUCGGGAGUCAGACUGCGAGUGAUAAGAUCCGUAGUCGAAAGGGAAACAGCCCAGACCACCAGUUAAGGUCCCCAAAUAUAUGUUAAGUGGAAAAGGAUGUGGGGUUGCUUAGACAACCAGGAUGUUGGCUUAGAAGCAGCCACCAUUGAAAGAGUGCGUAAUAGCUCACUGGUCGAGUGACCCCGCGCCGAAAAUGUACCGGGGCUAAACAUAUUACCGAAACUGUGGAUGAACCUCUUUAGAGGUUCGUGGUAGGAGAGCGUUCUAAGGGCGGUGAAGUCAGACCGGAAGGACUGGUGGAGCGCUUAGAAGUGAGAAUGCCGGUAUGAGUAGCGAAAGAAGGGUGAGAAUCCCUUCCACCGAAUAUCUAAGGUUUCCUGAGGAAGGCUCGUCCGCUCAGGGUUAGUCGGGACCUAAGCCGAGGCCGAUAGGCGUAGGCGAUGGACAACAGGUAGAGAUUCCUGUACCAGUGCUAAUUGUUUAACCGAUGGGGUGACACAGAAGGAUAGGGAAUCGCACGAAUGGAAAUGUGCGUCCAAGCAGUGAGUGUGAGAAGUAGGCAAAUCCGCUUCUCGCGAAGCAUGAGCUGUGAUGGGGAAGGAAAUUAAGUACGGAAGUUCCUGAUUUCACGCUGUCAAGAAAAGCCUCUAGGAAGAGUAGUACUGCCCGUACCGCAAACCGACACAGGUAGAUGAGGAGAGAAUCCUAAGGUGAGCGAGAGAACUCUC
This 1711-nucleotide ribosomal RNA is filed under the name Listeria monocytogenes. RNAcentral's name for it is "partial 23S ribosomal RNA". It matches the Rfam family "Bacterial large subunit ribosomal RNA", at positions 1 to 1703 of the family's 2925-position model. Lineage: Bacteria; Bacillati; Bacillota; Bacilli; Caryophanales; Listeriaceae. The record is from RNAcentral.